AGUUCAUCUUAUUUUGCAUAAUAUUUUGGUACGCAGUAGUAUUAUUGUUUUAAAUUUAAAUGCAUAUUUCUGUAGUUAUUAAAACUAAAAAGUAAAAAAUUUGUUUGGUCAAUGAUAGAACAUAAAAUAUUGUCUAGUUCAGUUGGUCCCAAACUUUUACAACCAUGGCACCCUUUGAAAAAAGUUUGUGUUUUAUGGAACCCCAACUCUUACUGAACCC
This is a non-coding RNA of Cinara cedri, 220 nucleotides long. The record is from the annotation of a GenBank genome assembly. NCBI's taxonomy places the organism in Eukaryota, Metazoa, Arthropoda, Insecta, Hemiptera, Aphididae.